UCCCGGCCCGGUCAGCUUUCAUACCUCGCCAAGAUGACAUUAACGAAGCUCAGUAUGGAGAGUUUCCAUGGCAUGCAGCAGUGUUGCAGCCCAGACACUACCAGGAAGGAUUGGUACAGACUUUUGUCUGCUCUGGUGCACUAAUCCACCCAUACUUUGUCAUCACUGCGGCCCACUGUGUUAUUUUCAGCAGUGGGGACUUCACAGUAUCGCUGGGCGAUUUGGGACCUGACGGAGGGAAAGAAUCAUAUCCUAGAUACGCUCUAGUCACUGUCAGUGACGUUAUUAUUCAUCCAGGU
Cherax quadricarinatus is the source of this 299-nucleotide non-coding RNA. The record is from RefSeq and is a predicted model, not a curated record. NCBI's taxonomy places the organism in Eukaryota, Metazoa, Arthropoda, Malacostraca, Decapoda, Parastacidae.